Molecule: ribosomal RNA, 602 nt
Filed under: uncultured bacterium
Lineage: Bacteria
Description: bacterial SSU rRNA
Rfam family: Bacterial small subunit ribosomal RNA
Source: RNAcentral
CCUACGGGAGGCAGCAGUGGGGAAUAUUGGGCAAUGGAGGAAACUCUGACCCAGCGACGCCGCGUGCGGGAUGAAGGCCUUCGGGUUGUAAACCGCUUUCAGCAGGGAAGAAGCGAAAGUGACGGUACCUGCAGAAGAAGCACCGGCUAACUAUGUGCCAGCAGCCGCGGUAAUACAUAGGGUGCAAGCGUUGUCCGGAAUUAUUGGGCGUAAAGAGCUCGUAGGUGGUUCGUCACGUCGGAUGUGAAAAUCUGGGGCUUAACCCCAGACCUGCAUUCGAUACGGGCGAGCUUGAGUAUGGUAGGGGAGUCUGGAAUUCCUGGUGUAGCGGUGGAAUGCGCAGAUAUCAGGAGGAACACCAAUGGCGAAGGCAGGACUCUGGGCCAUUACUGACACUGAGGAGCGAAAGCGUGGGGAGCGAACAGGAUUAGAUACCCUGGUAGUCCACGCCGUAAACGGUGGGCACUAGUUGUGGGGACCUUCCACGGUCUCUGCGACGCAGCUAACGCAUUAAGUGCCCCGCCUGGGGAGUACGAUCGCAAGAUUAAAACUCAAAGAGUAGUAGCGCGNGAGACGCGACGACGACGACGACGAGGAGGAGG